CUGGUUGAUCUUGUCAGUAGUCAUUUGCUAGUCUCAAAGAUUAAGCCAUGCAUGUGUAAGUAUGAACAAAUUUAGACUGUGAAACUGCGAAUGGCUCAUUAAAUCAGUUAUAGGUUGUUUGAUGGUAUUUGCUACUCGGAUAAUCGUAGUAAUUCUAGAGGUAAUACGUGCAACAAACCCCAACUUCUGGAAGGGAUGCAUUUAUUAGAUAAAAGGUUGACACAGGCUUUGCCCGUUGCUCUGAUGAUCCAUGAUAACUCGACGGAUUGCACGACCUUUGUGUCGGUGAUGCAUCAUUCAAAUUUCUACCCUAUCAACUUUUUAUUGUAGGAUAGUGGCCUACUAUGGUGGUAACGGGUGAUGGAGAAUUAGGGUUCGAUUCUGGAAAGGGAGCUUGAGAAACGGCUACCACAUCCAAAGAAGGCAGCAGGCGCGUAAAUGACCCAAUCUUGACACGGGAAGGUAGUGACAAUAAAUAACAAUGCCGGGCUCUAUGAGUCUGGCAAUUGGAAUGAGUACAAUCUAAAUCUUUUAACGAGGAUACAUUGGAGGGCAAGUAUGGUGCCAACAGCCACGGUAAUUCCAUUUUCGUAAACCAAACGUA
Non-coding RNA from Gossypium raimondii (Peruvian cotton), 604 nucleotides. NCBI's taxonomy places the organism in Eukaryota, Viridiplantae, Streptophyta, Magnoliopsida, Malvales, Malvaceae. The record is from Rfam.